Molecule: non-coding RNA, 110 nt
Organism: Chelonoidis abingdonii (Abingdon island giant tortoise)
Lineage: Eukaryota; Metazoa; Chordata; Testudines; Testudinidae
Source: RefSeq, a predicted model, not a curated record
AUUUACCAGAAAGGCAAAGGUAAUAAUUGGAGGUAUACCAAUCUCCUAGAACUGGAAGGGACCUUGAAAAGUCAUUGAGUCCAGCCCCCUGCCUUUGCUGGCAGGACCAA